Molecule: ribosomal RNA, 1486 nt
Filed under: uncultured prokaryote
Description: partial 16S ribosomal RNA
Rfam family: Bacterial small subunit ribosomal RNA
Source: RNAcentral
AGAGUUUGAUCAUGGCUCAGGAUGAACGCUAGCGGCAGGCUUAACACAUGCAAGUCGAGGGGUAACAGGGAUUGCUUGCAAUCCGCGGACGACCGGCGCACGGGUGCGUAACGCGUAUACAAUCUGCCCUGUACAGGGGGAUAGCCCAGAGAAAUUUGGAUUAAUACCCCGUAGUAACUUGAUAUGGCAUCAUAUUAAGUUUAAAGUUUUCGGACGGUACAGGAUGGCUAUGCGUCCUAUUAGUUAGAUGGUGAGGUAACGGCUCACCAAGGCGACGAUAGGUAGGGGCCCUGAGAGGGGGAUCCCCCACACUGGUACUGAGACACGGACCAGACUCCUACGGGAGGCAGCAGUGAGGAAUAUUGGACAAUGGGCUAAAGCCUGAUCCAGCCAUGCCGCGUGCAGGAAGACGGCCCUAUGGGUUGUAAACUGCUUUUAUACAGAAGAAACCUCCCCACGUGUGGGGAGCUGACGGUACUGUAAGAAUAAGCACCGGCUAACUCCGUGCCAGCAGCCGCGGUAAUACGGAGGGUGCAAGCGUUAUCCGGAUUUAUUGGGUUUAAAGGGUCCGUAGGUGGACUAAUAAGUCAGUGGUGAAAUCCUACAGCUUAACUGUAGAACUGCCAUUGAUACUGUUAGUCUUGAGUGAAGUUGAAGUAGCUGGAAUGUGUAGUGUAGCGGUGAAAUGCAUAGAUAUUACACAGAACACCAAUUGCGAAGGCAGGUUACUAAACUUCUACUGACACUGAUGGACGAGAGCGUGGGGAGCGAACAGGAUUAGAUCCCCUGGUAGUCCACGCCGUAAACGAUGAUCACUCGCUGUCGGGGUUUUUACUUCGGUGACUGAGCGAAAGCAUUAAGUAAUCCACCUGGGGAGUACGUUGGCAACAAUGAAACUCAAAGGAAUUGACGGGGGCCCGCACAAGCGGAGGAACAUGUGGUUUAAUUCGAUGAUACGCGAGGAACCUUACCUGGACUUAAAUGGAGAACGACCGCCGCCGAAAGGUGGCUUCCCUUCGGGGCGAUUUUCAAGGUGCUGCAUGGUUGUCGUCAGCUCGUGCCGUGAGGUGUUGGGUUAAGUCCCGCAACGAGCGCAACCCCUAUCUUUAGUUGCCAUCAGGUUAUGCUGGGGACUCUAAAGAGACUGCCUAUGCAAAUAGUGAGGAAGGUGGGGACGACGUCAAGUCAUCAUGGCCCUUACGUCCAGGGCUACACACGUGCUACAAUGGCAAGUACAAUGAGCAGCCAUCUCGUGAGAGAGAGCGAAUCUCAAAAAGCUUGUCUCAGUUCGGAUUGGAGUCUGCAACUCGACUCCAUGAAGGCGGAUUCGCUAGUAAUCGCAUAUCAGCAAUGAUGCGGUGAAUACGUUCCCGGGCCUUGUACACACCGCCCGUCAAGCCAUGGAAGCUGGGGGUGCCUAAAGUCCGUAACCGCAAGGAGCGGCCUAGGGCAAAACUGGUAACUAGGGCUAAGUCGUAACAAGGUA